This 5260-nucleotide long non-coding RNA is filed under the name Sus scrofa (pig). RNAcentral describes it as "lncRNA (ENSSSCG00000055302.1)". Lineage: Eukaryota; Metazoa; Chordata; Mammalia; Artiodactyla; Suidae. The record is from RNAcentral.
UCUGUCAAUGUGCAUUGAGGUUGUUUCUAUGUUUUGGCUCUUGUAAAUAGUGCUGCAAUGAACACAGAGGUGCAUGUAUCUUUCUUAAUGAAAGUUUUGUCCAGAUAUAUGUGCAGAAGUGGGAUUGUAUCAUAUGGUAGUUCUAUAUUUAGUUUUCUGAGGUACCUCCAUACUGUUUUCAUAGUGGUAGCAUUCCCACCUCUAGCAUAGGAAGGCUCCAUUUUCUCCACAUCCUCUCCAGUAUUUGCUAUUUGUAGACUUAUUAAUGAUAGCCAUUCUGGCCAGUGUGAAAUGGUACCUCAUUGGGGUUUUGAUUUGCAUUUCUCUGAUAAUUAGUGGUGUGAGCAUUUUUUCAUGUGCCUGUUGGGAAUCUGUAUGUCUUCUUUGGUCUUCUGCCCAUUUUUCAACUGGGCUGUUUGUUUUCUGUUGAGUUGUAUGAGUUGUUUGUAUAUUUGGGAGAUUAAGCCCUUGCCAGUUGCAACAUUUGCAACUAUUUUCUCCCAUUCCCUAGAUUGUCUUUUUUUAUGGUUUCCUUUUGUUUGUUUGUUUGUUUGUUUGUUUGUUUUUAUUUUCCCACUGUACAGCAAGGGGGUCAGGUUAUCCUUACAUGUAUACAUUACAAUUACAGUUUUUCCCCCACCCUUUCUUCUGUUGCAACAUUAGUAUCUAGACAUAGUUCUCAAUGCUAUUCAGCAGGAUCUCCUUGUAAAUCUAUUCUAAGUUGUGUCUGAUAAGCCCAAGCUCCCGAUCCCUCCCACUCCCUCCCCCUCCCAUCAGGCAACCACAAGUCUCUUCUCCAAGUCCAUGAUUUUCUUUUCUGAGGAGAUGGUUUCCUUUGCUGUGUAAAAGCAUGUCAGUUUAAUUAGGUCCCAUUGGUUUAUUUUUGCUUUUAUUUCUAUUGCCUUGGGAGACUGACCUAAGAAAAUAUUUGUAUGGUUGAUAUCUGAGAAUGUUUUGCCUAUUGUUCUUUUCUAGGAGUUUUAUGGUGUCUUAUGUUUAAGUAUUUAAGCCAUUUUGAGUUUAUUUCUGUGCAUGGUGUGAGGGUGUGUUCUAGUUCCAUUGAUUUACUUGCAUCUGUCCAGUUUUGCCAGCACCACUUGCUGAAGAGACAGUCUAUUCCCCAUUUUUAAACUUCUCUUUAUUUAAAACCACCAAAUGUGCCUUUUCUUUGCUGUAAGAACCCUAACACACCCUGGAACAGUUCUACAUCACUCAUCACAGUGCUCUCCCAAAGGAGCUCAGGGGAAGUCAGAGAGAUGGUCACUCUAGAAGGGUAGAACUAAAAAUGACCACUUAAUAAACAUCUCUCCACCUUCUUCUACUGACCAAGAUGCAUCUGUCUGGGAACUUUGUCAGAGAUGGUUGCAAAAUAAGUCCUGCAACACUGAUCUUUGUGUCAAUGACAAAGAAAAGGAUAUUUCUGAUAAAAAAUAAUGUGAGAACAGUAGAGAUAUUUAAAAUAAAUACAAAUGAGAAUUCCCAUUGUGGGGAAUGCAACAAGUGCAACUAGUAUUCAUGAGGAUAUGGGUUCAAUCCAUGGCCUCAUUCAAUGUGUCAGGGAUCCAACAUUUCCAUUAGCUAUGGUGUAGGUUACAGAUGUGGCUCAGAUCUCAUGUUGCUGUGGCUCUGGAGUAGGCCAGUGGCUACAGCUCUGAUUAUACCCUCUAGCCUGGGAACCUCCAUAUGCCAUAGAUGCAGUCCUAGAAAAGACAAAAAUAAAUAAAUAAAUAAAUAAAUAUUUUACCCCCAAAAAAUGUUCCCCGAAGAAAUAUGAUCAUUAUAUGACAGUUCCCUGUUUAUUUCUUUCUAGCAAUAUUAAAAAGCUGUAGAAUUUUUCUUAAUUGUUUUUAUUUAUUUCUGUCUCCCUCACUGCACAGAAGCUACUAGAGUGUCCAUGUGUGUACCCAUUAUUGCGUAUCCUCAUGGCAGGUGGUGCAGAGUAGUCACUCAAUUAAAAAUAUUUGUGAAUAAAUUAUUAAAAAUAAGGUUUCUUGGGUAACUGUUGUAUACUAAACACUGUAAUAAGAGCUUUCAUGGAGCUCAUAGCCAAGGUAGAAAAACAAAAAAAUAAAUAUUUGCAAUAGGGUGCCAUAAAUGCUGUGUAUCAGUUAAUAAAUUAAGAACUCUAUAUUCAUUAUGCCCCAUAAUUGUCCUCACACCUCAAAUGAGUUCUGUAUUGCUAUUAUUACCAUUUACAGAUGAGGAAACAUUAUGUGAGAAAAUAAGUAUUUUGCCUAGUUUCACACAUCCAGUAAAUAUUAAAGUUAGGUGUUGACCUUUUAUCUAUCUGAUAACUACCUAUUCUGUGUCAUGGAAGCACUGAGUAUGCAGUCAUUGAUUAAUUUAAUUAAUACUUAUAAGAGUGAAUAUUUUAUAUGUAAAUGCUUAUAUCAUGUACUAGUUAUGGGAGCUAGGUAUAUUGUAGUAAACAAAAAAGUCUCUUCCUUCAUUAAGCUGACACUCAAAAUUAAAAAGACAAACAACAAAAACAAAUCACUAUGUUAUAUAAUACCUGAGUCAUCAUUUUUGAAAAAAUUAAAGCAGAGUAGGAGGAUAAAAUAGUGAGUAGAUGGGUAAAUAUUGUAUUGGGGAAAUAAAAAAAUAAAUUUUUAAAGGCUACUUAAAAUUGAAUGGUCAAAGAAGUCCACUCUUAAAGCUCAGGAUUUUCUGGCUUAUUUAACAUCUUUUGGGCAUAUUUAAAAAGUCAGACCUUUCUCCAGGCAUACACAACCCUUUGAAUGGGCACUAGAGUGGCUCUCUGUUUCCAUGGCAAUUUUCAAAGCCCAGCCUCUCAUUUCUCAUACUAUACUUACUGCAAGAAUUUCCCAAUUUGUCUGUCUACCCCUCCUGCCCUCUGCUGUCAGAUUAACCUUAAUUAGCCUGGCCUAGCAAACCAAGCAGAGGCUGGAUUUCAGUCUCAAUUUCAAUCUCAUUGAGACAAAUUUUUAUAGAUGUUGAUUCAAAGCAAUAGCCUGUUUGAGAGAUGAUAUUUGAUUAAAGGUCUGAAUAAAAUAAGAGAUCAAGCUGUGAGGACAUGUGACAGGAAGAGAAUUUUUAACCCCCUAAAACCAGUGUAUGUUUGAUAUGUUACUGUAGAACAAGACAAUGUGGUGGAGUGAGCAAGAAGAAAAGAGUAGGAAAGGAGUUGAAGAGGUAGCCCUUGUAAGCCUGGUGAGGACUUUGCUUGUUAUUUUAAGGAUAAGGGGAACCCAUUAAAGUAGGAAGUUUAUGAAUUCUCUCUCUUAACAUGAAAAAAUCCUUCACAUAAGGAGGUAAGAUUAGAUCUGAAGAUAUGGGAAUGAGUUGGAAUCAUCUCAUGGAUAGAAGUUCCAUGUAGAAAGAAUCUGUAAGGUUAGAUAGUAUGAUCAGAAAUAAAAAUAGUUAGGGUACCUAAUCCUUGCUAGUGAAAAUGUCUAGCACAAACCAGCAGCAUUCACAUCACCAGAGAGGUUGUUAACGAUGCAAAAUUUUUGGCUUUUCUCUAGAUCUACUGAAUCAUAAUCUGUAUUAUAAACAAAAUUAGUAAAUGAAUUGUAAGCAUAACAAGGGAUAGUGGGUGAGAGAAUAUAAUAAGUGGUCCAGUGUUCAUAGAUUCCAGGCAUUAAGCAGGAAUAGAUAUAGAGGCUUAAGAGCUUAGAUUGGAGCUAUUGGCAAGGGCUUUGAGUACCAUAAUUAAGGUUCUAGAACAUUCUGCCAGAGAAAACAUUCCCAUAAUAAUGACUGCCUCAAAAUGGUUGAAUAACAGAAACUGCAAAAUUCAGCAUUUUUUUAAAGGAGAGAAAUUUCUUCCAUUAUUUUGUGCAAAAUUGAGUUAAAAAUACUGAUGGAGUUCUCAUUGUGGAUCAGUGGUAAUGAACCCAACUAGUAUCCAUGAGGAUGUGUGUUCCAUCCUCAGCACUGCUCAGUGGGUUAAGGAUUAAGUGUUUCCAUGAGCUAUGGUGUAAGUCACAGACACAUCUUGGAUCUGGCAUUGCUGUGACUGUGGUGUGGGCCAGUAGCUGUAGCUCCGACUUGAUCCCUAGCCUGGGGACUUCCAUAUGCCAAGGAUGUGGUCCUUAAAAAAAAUGGCUAUAGAAACAUGUAUUUUUUUUUCUUUAAAGGAGGCCACAUUACCUAUUUUAAAUAAAAACUAUUAUCUGUUUAUGUAUGGAUAAUCACUCCAUAUUAGUUUAUAUAUAUUCCUCAGAAGUUUUAAAUAUGCUGAACAAAAUGAGGAAAAAAAUAGUCCUCGUAGGUGUAUAUCAAUUCUUUUAAUUCCUCCUGUUAUAGAGGCCAGGUUAAAUUUCAAAUGUGGUCUUUCUAGGAAUGUAAAUGUGAUCAAUUAUGGGGCUUCUCGUCAUCUUUGAUUUGGCAUGCAGGCUGUACCACCUUUUCUUGCUUCCUAUUAAAUAUAAUAAAUCAGGCCACUCAGAAUUCAUCAAAAAAAGGAAUCAGAAUAGCAGGUAAAUUGAAAAAUUGAAAAAAUUACUUGAAUAUUAAUUUUCCAGACUACAAUGUUUCACAAGGUGAUCUCUAUUUUUCCUUAUGUUUUAAAAUCAUUUUAUUUUUUUAUUGUUAUUUCAGCAAAGUUGGGCCUCAAGAAGCAUUAGGAUAAACAGAAAGAGAUGGGAAACUACCCAAGGACCUGGAAGAUACACAGAUGAAAAUUACUACUCCUGGUAACAGCACAGAGGCAACAGAUUGAGAACUGACUGGGGCUCUGGAGUUUAUAAAACAACCUCAGUGCACACCACAGCCCAUACCAGGUGCUUUCUCCCCCCUCUUUCUCAAGUAUUGCUCUCAAUAGGGCAGAUGCUGCCAUUGCCAAAAUAGGGUGAGCAUACUUAAAGGGAAUGGAGCCAGCUCAGAUUGAACCCUGACUCUGAUCAAGGCAAAGGCAGCCAUUACCAGUGUACACAUCCCUGUAUGUGCAUACACUUGCUUGCUGCCAGCCACAGCAUGGAGGCAACAUAUUAAAAAUUGCCCAGUGAUCUGGCUGACUUACCACAACUGCUACAGCACACACCACAGCUGCACUUGCACCUGCUCCAGGCACCUGCACUAGUCACUCUUGAUCCAUUACUUCUUUCCACUAAGGUGGAAGCUACUGUUGCCAAAGAGAGUACACAUAGAGGGAAUGUAACAAGUUCUUGGAUCUGACCAUGUCUCUAACAAGGGUGCAGGCAACCUUUGCCAAUGCAUACAUCCCUGCCCACAUUCAGAAGGAGUGAAACUAACUCCAGGGCAGACACCAACAUUACUGGCAGGAAUUAAACCAGUU